GGACAACCUACCCUAUGGAGGGGGAUAACCCCGGGAAACUGGGGAUAAUACCCCAUAGACUAUAGAUGCUGGAAUGCUUUGUAGUUGAAAGGUCCGCCGCCAUAGGAUGGGUCUGCGGCCGAUUAGGUUGUUGUUGGGGUAACGGCCCAACAAGCCUGUAAUCGGUACGGGUUGUGGGAGCAAGAGCCCGGAGAUGGAUUCUGAGACACGAAUCCAGGCCCUACGGGGCGCAGCAGGCGCGAAAACUUUACAAUGCGGGAAACCGUGAUAAGGGAACUCCGAGUGCCCGUAAAAUCGGGCUGUCCAUCUGUUUAAAUAACAGGUGAAGAAAGGGCCGGGCAAGACCGGUGCCAGCCGCCGCGGUAAUACCGGCGGCUCGAGUGGUGGCCACUAUUACUGGGCUUAAAGCGUUCGUAGCUGGUCUGUUAAGUCUCUGGGGAAAUCUACUGGCUUAACCAAUAGGCGUCUCAGGGAUACUGGCAGACUAGGGACCGGGAGAGGUGAGAGGUACUCCAGGGGUAGGAGUGAAAUCCUGUAAUCCUUGGGGGACCACCUGUGGCGAAGGCGUCUCACCAGAACGGCUUCCACAGUGAGGGACGAAAGCUGGGGGAGCAAACCGGAUUAGAUACCCGGGUAGUCCCAGCCGUAAACGAUGCGCGUUAGGUGUAUCGGUGACCACGA
RNAcentral lists this ribosomal RNA (681 nucleotides) under uncultured Methanomicrobiaceae archaeon. RNAcentral's name for it is "SSU rRNA". It matches the Rfam family "Archaeal small subunit ribosomal RNA", at positions 102 to 788 of the family's 1478-position model. Lineage: Archaea; Methanobacteriati; Methanobacteriota; Methanomicrobia; Methanomicrobiales; Methanomicrobiaceae. The record is from RNAcentral.